Molecule: ribosomal RNA, 316 nt
Filed under: uncultured Thermincola sp.
Lineage: Bacteria; Bacillati; Bacillota; Clostridia; Eubacteriales; Thermincolaceae
Description: bacterial SSU rRNA
Rfam family: Bacterial small subunit ribosomal RNA
Source: RNAcentral
GUGAGUGUCGGGUUAAGUCCCGCAACGAGCGCAACCCCUAUCCUUAGUUGCCAUCAGGUAGAGCUGGGCACUCUAGAGAGACUGCCGGUGACAAACCGGAGGAAGGUGGGGAUGACGUCAAAUCAUCAUGCCCCUUAUAUCCUGGGCUACACACGUACUACAAUGGCCGGUACAAAGGGCGGCGAAGGGGCGACCCGGAGCAAAUCCCAGCAAAGCCGGUCCCAGUUCGGAUUGUAGUCUGCAACUCGACUACAUGAAGGCGGAAUCGCUAGUAAUCGCAGGUCAGCAUACUGUGGUGAAUACGUUCCCGGGCCUU